Molecule: transfer RNA, 65 nt
Filed under: Gunungiella wangi
Lineage: Eukaryota; Metazoa; Arthropoda; Insecta; Trichoptera; Philopotamidae
Description: tRNA-Tyr
Source: RNAcentral
UAGUAAAAUGGCUGAUAAGAGUGAUAAAUUGUAAAUUUAUAAAUAAAUUGAAAAAUUUUUUUACU